This 55-nucleotide unclassified non-coding RNA is filed under the name Thermobispora bispora. Lineage: Bacteria; Bacillati; Actinomycetota; Actinomycetes; Streptosporangiales; Streptosporangiaceae. The record is from RNAcentral.
GACUUCACAUGCACGCACCCACUAUGCGAUUCUCGAUCAGCAACCGAGCGGAUCC